RNAcentral lists this unclassified non-coding RNA (990 nucleotides) under Hevea brasiliensis (rubber tree). The record is from RNAcentral. Lineage: Eukaryota; Viridiplantae; Streptophyta; Magnoliopsida; Malpighiales; Euphorbiaceae.
UGCAGCUAAAAUUAUUUCAGAGGCACCCUUGCAGUGUGCCCGAAAACCUCCAUCAGGAAGCUCUAAAACUACACCCAUUCUCUUCUUUGCAGAGUUGAAUGGUUCAACUUUCACAAUUUUUGAUUUUUCUCUUUCUUCUUUGAAAUUUCCUCCCAGUAACAACCCCAACUCUAAAAGAGCAGUUUCAGUGGGUGAUCCUAGAAUCUCAAUUUUGUUCUCUUUGUUAAUAACAACUUCUCCUCCAGUGUUAUUAAAUAUUGACUCAAAUAGAAUUCUCAUAGCAGAAUCAGGAACUGCAGGACCAAAAUUAAGAGUACUCUUGGAGCUGUUCACUUCCUUGAUUUCCCCACAGAUGCAUGCUUUUACAACGGUCAUGUGGUUAGUUGUUAGUGUUCCAGUUUUGUCACUACAGAUAGUUGUGGCAGACCCCAUUGUCUCGCAAGCAGCCAGAUGACGAACAAGUGCCUUAUCAUUCAUCAUCUUCUUCAUGGCAAAAGCAAGACUUAAUGUGACAGCCAAAGGAAGGCCCUCAGGAACUGCAACAACAACAAUUGUAACAGCAACAGCAAAAAAUUCCAACAUUUCCAUGGCAUCAUCACCAGACCAGUUCCAGUGACUUCCUUCAACAAGCUUACGCCUAAAUAAUCCUUCCACCAGGACAGCAAAUGUCACAAUGGCAAAAAAUAGGCCUAUUUUCCCAAUUAUGGUUGCUACUCCAUUCAGUUUGACCUGCAAUGGGGUCUCAUCGUCUCCUCCUUCACUUAGUGUAGCCAUUAGUUUACCCCACUGUGUUCUCAUUCCAACAGUAGUCACAAGCAUUUUGCAUGAUCCAUCUUGAACUUUGGUUCCUGAAAGAAGAAAGGGAUUUGUAGCAUCCACAUGAACUGGCUCACUCUCUCCUGUUAAACUAGAUUCAUUAAUUAACAAAGAAAACCCGGAGAUAAAAAGUCCAUCAGCUGGGACCUGGUCUCCAAUGGAAAGAUGAACGAU